Dendroctonus ponderosae (mountain pine beetle) is the source of this 392-nucleotide long non-coding RNA. RefSeq lists it as uncharacterized. NCBI's taxonomy places the organism in Eukaryota, Metazoa, Arthropoda, Insecta, Coleoptera, Curculionidae. The record is from RefSeq and is a predicted model, not a curated record. The transcript has 2 exons.
UCGAUUUUCGGAUCUGGCAACGCUGGUCGCAUCCAUCAUCAUAUGAUGCAUCAUUCAAAAUGGCGGUUCUGAAGAAAUCAGCGUAGACAAGGCUUCUUUUAAUUGCUCUUAUGUUUGUAUUUUAUUGUGUCUGUUGAAGAAGUUUCAGAAUGGUAACUAAAUAAAUAGUGGCUUGUGAUUUACAGUGUAAAAGCUAAAGGUAGUGACAGCGCCUUGACGGCAGAAAUCAUUCCCAUCAUAGAUAGAUGUGACAUGUGACUUAGAUAUGAAAAAAAAACCGCCUUCCGAAUAUUCGCCUACUUAAGUAUCUUGAACGUGAGAGACUUAAGAUCUCUCUAAGAUGAGAUAAGAUAAUUUAACCGUAUGACUUUAAUAAAAUAUAUUUUCUGUUA